AUAAAAAUAAUUAUGUUUUAAAAAUUUUAUUAAAAAUUUAUUUUACAUAUAAAUUUUAGUGUAUAUUUUUAAUUAUUUAAAUAAUAAUAAAUAAAAUACGUAGUAAUUAGUAUUAAAAAUUUAAGAAAUUAAGAUUUAGUAAUAUAUAAAUUAAUAACUAAUUUUGUGCCAGCAGUUGCGGUUAAACAAAAGUUAAAUUAAAAUAUUUCAGUUUAUAAUAAAUAAAAUUGCUUUAAAAUAAAUAUUAAAUUAUUAGGUGAAAUUUUAAUUUAAUUAAAUUUUAUAUAAAAAUUAUGAUUUAAUAAAUUUAAAAAUAAACUAGGAUUAGAUACCCUAUUAUUAAAAAUUUAAUUUAUAAUACUAAAAUAGUAAAUAAUAAUUUAUUGAAACUUAAAUAAUAUGGCGGUAUUUUAGUUCAUUUAGAGGAAUCUGUCUAAUAAUUGAUAAUCCACGAAUAAAUUUACUUAAUUUAAAAUUUUGUAUAUCAUUGUUAAAAAAAUAUUUUUUAGUAAAAAUAAUAUUUAAAAAUUAAUAAUAAAAAUUAGUUCAGAUCAAGAUGCAGAUAAUAAUUAAGAAUAUGAUGGAUUACAAUAAAAAUAUUUAAAUGAAUAAUUUAUUGUAAUAUAAAUUUGAAGGUGGAUUUAAAUGUAAUUUUAAUUAAUUUAUUAAAAUGAUUAAAAAUUAAAAUAUGUACAUAUUGCCCGUCACUUUCAUUUAAAAAUUGAAAUAAGUCGUAACAAAGUAGAGGUACUGGAAAGUGUUUCUAGAAAGA
This 772-nucleotide non-coding RNA is filed under the name Anartia jatrophae saturata. The record is from RNAcentral. Lineage: Eukaryota; Metazoa; Arthropoda; Insecta; Lepidoptera; Nymphalidae.